CAGCGAGGUCGGUUCCACGUGUUAGAGGUGUUGGUCUGCGUCUCCUUUACUAAGUCCUGAGCGUGAGGAACCUUCCCCCUCUUCUUCAGCUCGGGGAACUUUUCAGAGACCUGGAAACAUCGGUGUUCAUGAGAGAAGAUGAAAAGUAAGAAGAAAAUGAAAGUAAAGGGAGAAACGUGGAGGAGAAAAGAAGCAAAAAUGCAAAGCAGAGCAACAUUUUUAAAAAGUAAAGGAAGGACAAGAGGGACACAAGAAUAAAAGCCUGGCCACACUUGCAGGACUUGGAGAAGCAGGGCGCCUUUAAGGUUCGGGAUAAUAAAGCAACACUGGCUGUUGGAUGCUGACAGGACCUGAACUGCUGCCUCUCACACGUUUUGUUGAUGCAUCCAUCCACCGCGACCUCCACACUCGCUCCUGACGUGACAGACGUUAAUAUCCACAUGGCCACAAGAGGUCCUCGUGUUGGUUGGAUUAACCUGUUAGGUGGCCCCGGGGCAAUGACCCCUACUGACCCCCCACCUACUGCCCUCAAUGCAAUGUCACCUCCAAGUUCCCAUUAAGCCCAGUGUAACCAGUAUGCUGUGUAUCCAGUGUAUCUUAUGAUGGCAUAAUACUUUAUUAGUGUUAGUAUGUGGUAAUUUAAUUAAACAUAUCUUUAUUAGGAAUAUGGAUCAUGUGACCGCAGUAUAAACUAAAAUAAUAAAACUCUUACAGCUAGAUUUUGAUAUAGGGUCCCUUUACAAGACAUGGCCACAACUCUAGAUGUGAAAAUUCCCUAAAAAUGUGCGAUUAAUCAAAUUGUCAUAACCAACUGACAUGUAGUGGACCUGGGGCUUUUGCAGCCCCUCGUGGUCUGGGGCCCUGGUAGCAAACAGGUCAUUUUAGGUAUUUGAACAAACGACUGAUGCUGUCGUUUUGCUGGUGAGGACAGUGUCCUGCCCACAGCUCAGCCUUGUGUUCAGCGGCCUCUGUGGUCUUUGUUGAGGACCGAGGUUUGAACUGUAAAUCACCUAGUCACAAGCCGACCUCUGUCCCCAAACUAGACAGUUUAGACUGAAGCGGCCCGCCGCCUGAUCCCAAUCAGUGAGGUGAGGUAAAGGGAGUGUCGGCUUUCAGGGUCGCUGCCUCUGUCUUUUCAAAGAGGAGAUGGAAAACCCCCAAAACUUGUGGUUAAAAGACUAACCCCCCCCCUCCCCGCCUGUGACCUGUCUGACCCCACGGCUGAGUCAAACCCUAAAUGCGCCUGAUUCCCAACCGGUUUCACAUCAGAGUUCAAGGUCAAACCCAAACAAGAGCAUUAGCUCCCUACAUAGAAUAUCUCGUAUGUUUUCUUGUUUUACUGAGACAGUUUGUAUCAAUAAACACAGGGUGUUUAGCUCGCUUGUUAAUUCUUUUGCUGCUCGCGUGUUCAUGUGUAAUUUCAGAGCAGACAAUGGAAGUCCUGUCAGGAGACUGUGUGACGACUUUGGGAAAGUAAAAAAAAAAAAAUUAAAAUAAUAAAAACAACCCUCGGGACAAUUAGUCUGUCACUUUCUGCUGAGAGUGCAAGAAGUCGGUGAUGAGACAUGAAACACCCAAAGAGCCCAAAGGCAUCGUAGAUGCUUCUUCAUGCUGGGAACAUGUGUGAUGGUGGUGGAGGAGGAGGAGGAGGGGGGGCGUCCAUUACAAGUAUGGACAUAUCUAGCUUCUGGUUACAGUGAUGACAAGAUCUGUGAGCAGCAGUGUAGGGGAUCUGACAGAGAAACAUGUCUGCACACGGUGUGUCUGAAGAGCGUCUCCAGUCUAACAACAAAUCCACCACCAUCACCCCCCACCAGGUCACCGUGCUUUAGUUUGACACGACCAAGAACCUGGAGGGAGCCGGAAGGCAGUCGGGACAUUUUCACUGCUGGUUUGACUAAGAAACCUUUGACAGAGUCCAGCUUCAAGUCCACUUUCAACCAAAAUACAUCUUCAGGAGGAGAGAGACCCUCAAUUUAAUGCCUUAAAUGCAAAGUUGUAGUAGUUAACCACAGUACAGUCAGGUAUUUCUGCUACUUCACUUGCUUUUUUUCCAUUUUGUGAGACUUUCCACUUUCCCUCCACUACAUUUUAGAGGAUAUAUUGUAUUUUUUACAGUGUCUUUCAUUCUUUCCUUCAUUUUAUUCCUUCCAUCUUUCAGUCCUCCUUUCCCCCUAUUCUUUUUCAUAAGAAACCACAAAAAUCCUGAUAGUAAAACUAACAUUUUACUGCUAAUAUACUGCUAAUAACUUAUUAUCUUUUAUUGAAGUAAAAAAAAAAUGAACGCAGGACUUUCACACUGUGGUACUACUACGUAUUUGUAAAGGAUCUGACUACUACUUCUAUCAUAAAAGAUAAGGUAUGGUAUAUUUGAUAUUUUUAUUAUUCACUGAAUAUAUCCACUAACAAGUGUUGUGUGUGUAUCGCAGCCUGAUAUAUCUUCUUCCUGUGAGCCUUAGAGCUCCAUCGUUGUCCAGAAACUAUUAAAAACACAUCAGCGAGCCGAACUCUUGCACUGUUGACAUGUUCCUUCAUCACCACGAACACACACACUGUAGUUUAUUCUGACUCCAAACACUCGCUAGUGGAUUGAU
Siniperca chuatsi (mandarin fish) is the source of this 2594-nucleotide long non-coding RNA. RefSeq lists it as uncharacterized. The transcript has 3 exons. NCBI's taxonomy places the organism in Eukaryota, Metazoa, Chordata, Actinopteri, Centrarchiformes, Sinipercidae. The record is from RefSeq and is a predicted model, not a curated record.